This 585-nucleotide long non-coding RNA is filed under the name Nicotiana benthamiana. RNAcentral's name for it is "long non-coding RNA (NBEN_LNC031126)". Lineage: Eukaryota; Viridiplantae; Streptophyta; Magnoliopsida; Solanales; Solanaceae. The record is from RNAcentral.
UAAAGUAAAAUGAGAACUCUCUUAGUAUUCUCUGAAAUUUCCAAACAUUUGAAGUUUACAACCUUAAUCGCCAUUAUAUUAUACUAGACAAAAAAAAAGACCAAGUAUGUUCGUUAGGGUCCCUUGUCCAACAAACAAUGGAUUAACAUGGAAAUGGAUUUUAAGGAAAUAUUAUUGGAUACUAGUUAGAAUCUAAAAAACAAAAAAUAUAACAACUUUCAGUAUUAUGAUUGACACUGAAGUGAAGAAAUUUAAUAACAUAUAUAUGCAAUUCUGUCAGUAACUAUACACCCAAAACUGUAAGUAUUUCCUUUAUAGGAAUUAAAAAAAAAAAUUAAGAAAUAGUAGAAGGAAACCUAGGGAUGCAAAUCUUCUUCAAUUCUAUAAUAGAAAGAACCUCCAGAACAAGUUUACAAUGAUGAAAAUCCAAACUAAAUACAGUAGCAAUUAUGUUAAGAAACCAAAAUAAGAAUUGAAACUCUUGUGUGAAAUCGGAAUCGUAACGACAACCCAAUAUUGACUCAUAUUUUAGCCUCUCGAUAUUUUCUCUCUUCAACAGUUUUUCAAUCUUUUCUUUUCUCUUCC